CCCAGCUGUAACAGGCCAGUUCCUCACAAAUAAUCUGGCGCUGUGACAGGACCUGCCCUCCUGUCAACAGCACAAAAUAAAAUGGAUACACAGGAAUUGUACCUAUACUGUGCCCUACAAGUGGAGGUCGCUCGAUUCCAUAUAAAACGCCAGUACAAACUGCUCAGAGCUGAUGCUAGGAGCAUAAUAAGAUCUUGCAGAAGACUGGUGAACAACAAGAACAUCAAAACGUAAUUCCAAGGAGGAGGAAUGGGUGUGACUCUCUGUGCUGGUGUGGGUCUUUAUGAAACAACUAUGUAAGCUGCUGCAUGCUAUAUCCACGUGGGGGAUAUGGUGCCUGACAAGCUCAGCUGUGACGAUGCGAUAAUCAUGCUAACUAUAGGAGAGUGCUCGUAACCUCUCCUAUAGCUAGCAGGAUUAUUGCAUCGUCACAGCUGACCUCAGAAACACAUCACCGGCACAGCAGUCAUUCAGUACCCCCAUUGACUCCCAUCAAAUUGUACCAUCUAAGGCAGCAGCUACCAGAGACCUACACCAGCACAGACAGGUCACACCCACUGGGCGGAAUUAUUCACCAUCAACAGCAACCCUCCC
Long non-coding RNA from Pseudophryne corroboree (corroboree frog), 594 nucleotides. RefSeq lists it as uncharacterized. The transcript has 5 exons. The record is from RefSeq and is a predicted model, not a curated record. Lineage: Eukaryota; Metazoa; Chordata; Amphibia; Anura; Myobatrachidae.